RNAcentral lists this ribosomal RNA (578 nucleotides) under uncultured bacterium. RNAcentral's name for it is "bacterial SSU rRNA". It matches the Rfam family "Bacterial small subunit ribosomal RNA", at positions 338 to 916 of the family's 1533-position model. The record is from RNAcentral.
CCUACGGGAGGCAGCAGUAAGGAAUAUUGGACAAUGCUCGCAAGAGUGAUCCAGCCAUGCCGCGUGCAGGAAGAAUGCCCUAUGGGUAGUAAACUGCUUUUGAACUAGAGAAAACCCCAGUACGUGUACUGGGCUGAUAGUAUAGUUAGAAUAAGCAUCGGCUAACUUCGUGCCAGCAGCCGCGGUAAGACGAAGGAUGCAAGCGUUAUCCGGAUUCAUUGGGUUUAAAGGGAGCGUAGGUGGACUGAUAAGUCAGUGGUGAAAUCUCCGAGCUUAACUCGGAAAUUGCCAUUGAUACUGUUGGUCUUGAGUACAGUUGCUGUGGGCGGAAUAUGACAUGUAGUGGUGAAAUACAUAGAGAUGUCAUAGAACACCGAUUGCGAAGGCAGCUCACAAAGCUGUAACUGACACUGAGGCUCGAAAGUGCGGGGAUCAAACAGGAUUAGAUACCUGGUAGUCCGCACCGUAAACGAUGAUUACUCGCUGCUAGGGGGCAACCUUUAGUGGCUUAGCGAAAGCGAUAAGUAAUCCACCUGGGGAGUACGCCGGCAACGGUGAAACGUCAAAUGAAUUGACGG